Molecule: transfer RNA, 72 nt
Filed under: Oryza sativa Indica Group (long-grained rice)
Lineage: Eukaryota; Viridiplantae; Streptophyta; Magnoliopsida; Poales; Poaceae
Rfam family: tRNA
About the family: Transfer RNA (tRNA) molecules are approximately 80 nucleotides in length. Their secondary structure includes four short double-helical elements and three loops (D, anti-codon, and T loops).
Source: Rfam by way of RNAcentral
GUCGUUGUAGUAUAUUGUUGAGUAUUCCCGCCUGUCACGCGGGUGACCCGGGUUCGAUCCCCGGCAACGGCG